CAUGUUAAUAUUUGUGGACACCAGUAAAAGUAAAAUUCUAUCUAGUGACUGAAAAAGCCAAAGAUGUGGAAUCUGUUUGCACCUGGAGACCCUGAUGUCCAGAACAUCAAACUAUUCUGCCACCCUUAGCUCAAGAAAGGGUGCGCGGAGCUGGAAGCAACAGGUGACACUGUGCAGUUCUUGUCUGUGUUCACAGCCCAGUGCCACAAGACCUCCCUCAUCACAUCUUCCACAUGGGAAGGAGGAGGCAGGCUCAGCCUUCACUUUGACGUUGGAUCUGCAUCUGUCCCUAGUUACUUUUUCCCCAUGGGGAAACUGAGACACAAGGGAGGUAAAUGUCUGUGGUGGACCCAGGUUGCUGUGGACCUAAUCUGAGAAACUGUGCUUCCUUUCUUAGGUGGUGUAUCACCCUGCAGCAGAUCUUCUGCUGGGCUGGUUGACAGAUCUGCCCAAACGGUGAGCACUGGAUGGGGGUGUGACAUGAAGCACUUUGUGCAGUCAGGGAUGGAUGGUAUGGAAUUCUCCAAAGCAUGUGCAGUUACAAUCUAGACAGGUUAGUGAACGUAGGCCCAGAAAAGAUAAAUGUGUUGAACCAUGCAAAUUAAAAGUUAAGAGUAAACAAAUCUGGACAGUGGAACAACUGAGCUGAUGGGGAAGUGUGAGAUGUGAAGAAAUUUUUUCGAUUAACUACAGUCCUGUCACAAAUGGUCCAGGGAGAGUUCUGAGCAGCAGCAUACCCAUGCACUACGGAAGUCAUUGUAUGUUUCCCUUGCCCUUGGGUAACAGCAGUUGAUGUCCACAUUUUCAGCAGCUCCAAAGCUGAAAUUUGUCUUGUGUUACUGUUUAUUUAGCCUGACUAUUUCUGGACAAGGUGUUAGCCCCUCAUUCGUUUGUGCUUAAUGCACAGCAGCAAGGCCAGCUGCUGAAUAUGGGGCUUUUCUCAGCAGUUGUCUGCAUUAACGUCUGGCUACUGAGACGAAGUUGUGCUGCCAGACCUCCACGACACUGUCCAGACAAGGCUUUCCCAGAGCUGGAUGAGCCUAGGAAAAAAAAACACCAAAGCCAAAACCCUCUUUGAGAAAUCAAUGCCAGUUUCAAAUACCACACUGUAAAGUGCUUCUGCUUGUGAAGCUAGCAAUCAGAGAACGUCUGCCUGGACAAGGGCUCUGAACCAACUCCUGUUACAGGACCUGACCCUGUGUUCUUGGUGGUAAGUGACCACAUUACUCUUUGGGGCCUGUGGGUGUCAAAGACAAGACGCAUGUGAGAAAAGUCACCAGCUGAAAGCAGGCACAUGUUUUGCACACUAGAGGUAGUUUAGUAGCCCAAGCCUGUUUCUGAUUAAAAUAAGAGUCCUUCAGAUGAAUGGAAUGUAAACCACAUACCAAUUAUUGGAAUCCCAUAAAGGAAACUCCCUUUUCCAUCUGUCUAUCCAUCCAUCCGCCCACCCACACAAGUACAGUGUCUCAGAAAUAUCCCUCUGUAGAAAUGAGGGAGAAAUUCAGUGCUUGCUUCCUUUUUCCUUACCUCCCAGGUGCUGGAUGACAACUGAAGAGAUGAAAUUGCAGUGAAGCCACUUAAACACUUAUCAAAGAAAUGGACCUACUAAUUAAAAGGAUAGUAUUUCCUGGCACCAAGACAAAAUACACAAAGCUGAAUCUCAAGGCCUUCCUCAAACAAACUGUGUGGGAAUGUGGCUGUGUGAGGGCUGCAGGAACAAGCCGUAGAGUAAGACCCACUCAAAGGGAAAGAGUUAGAUCAGCACACUCAUUAGAAAAAAAUACUAAGGCAUGCAUAUAGCUGUUUCAGUUGCCAAAUCUCUUAUUGCUUUGCAUUCCCAUUGGACUUUUUAUUGAGGCUUUUCCAUGUAACUGAUUACAGUAAUUAAUGUUCCCAUCAAUCCUGUGAGGCAGAAGGUGUUUCUCCCAGGUCAGCUGUGCAUUGUAAGUAUUACAGUAUCUAUUUUACAGAUUGUAAAACCAAGACACAAAGUUCAGAGACAGCAAAUCAGUGCUGAACUAUGGUAGAGUCCCAUUCCUGACUCUGACCACAAUACACACAGUUUCUCCUAAGUAUACACUAAUCUCAAACACACUGCUUAAAUGAGCAGACCUUCCCCAUAUAAAUGAAGGCAAUAUAUCUGCUUUGGUGAGCAGUCUCUACUGCUAACAUCUGUUACCCCACAUAAAGAAUUUAGAUCCAGGAUAAAGGUAGUACUACAACAUGCUCUUUAUGUUCCUACUAUAAUUGCAGGACAGUUCAGUCUCAAUGCAAAAAGCAGACUUUGUAUAGAUGGAAGAAGUUUUAAAUGUUAAUAAUUUAGUUAAGAGUUGGGUCUACAGUGGUAUUAUGGUCUAGUUCAUGGUAACUUUUUUGAUACUCUGCUGGCCUCUAGAGGGGUAAUUUAUACACGAGCUGAAGCAGUAACCUAGGGGUUUUAAGCAAUACUGUCUGCUCUUCAGUCCUCUUGCCAGGUAGUUCUUUUUUAUUUUGCAAGGCAUUUAAGUAGUGAAGCUUUGUAGGUCUUUGGAAACACUUUUUUUCACUUCCAUGGUUUUCCCUCUCCCUGGGCAAUGGAUGUAAGAUACGUUUCUUCUGCUCAAAUAAGGGUAGAAUAUCCUGGCAAUAAAUGCCUCAGCCCUGAGGAAAAUGUGCAAGAGGUGUGAGUAAGAGAGAGAAAUGCAGAAAAGAGAAUACAGCAUUUUAUGUAUAACAUUUAUCCGUAAUUAAAAAGCUCCUAAACACUGACAAUUCUUCUCAUGAAUCCCAUCAUGCUCACUGAAAGCCAUUAACUGCAUUAUGAAACAAAACAAAGCAAAACAAAACAAGAA
This is a long non-coding RNA of Falco peregrinus (peregrine falcon), 2831 nucleotides long. RefSeq lists it as uncharacterized. The transcript is spliced from 2 exons. The record is from RefSeq and is a predicted model, not a curated record. NCBI's taxonomy places the organism in Eukaryota, Metazoa, Chordata, Aves, Falconiformes, Falconidae.